This 686-nucleotide long non-coding RNA is filed under the name Chinchilla lanigera (long-tailed chinchilla). RNAcentral describes it as "lncRNA (ENSCLAG00000028798.1)". Lineage: Eukaryota; Metazoa; Chordata; Mammalia; Rodentia; Chinchillidae. The record is from RNAcentral.
CUGGACCUUUCCUGGAGUUCUGGGUAAUGCUAGAUAAUACUAUUACUGAUGCAUUCCCCCUUUCAUAACUUAUCAAUUUCACAUAGUAAUAAUUUUCCCAUUUUUCCAACAAAUCUAAUGUCCAUAGGCCACGAUCACUAAGGACAGAUUCAGAAUGAUCUGAUCAGGGAACUAUUGGCUAAAACCAGUUUUUCUGUCACAUACAGCGAAAAGGAGAUGGUUUGUGAUUCUGAUGAGAUGGCUCACAAGAAAAAUACACUUGAAAAGUAACAGCAAAGGAGUGAGGCCUGGGUCCAUGGACUGUAGACAAGGAAUAAGGUGCUCCUCAUCCAGGUAUGAAUCCUCUAGGAUCAUGUUUGAAAUUUUAUAUUCAUCCAUAAAUCAUGACCUUCUCACCCUGAGCCCGUGUUGGAACAUCCCAGGGACAGCUCACUCAGGAGCCACAGGGACGCAUCUUUCUCGAGGGAGCCUGUGACGACAGGUCAGGCAGCUGCCUGCAAAAAAAUACACAUGGAUGGAUAGGCUAUAUUUGUCAUUUUUUUAAAAAAAGACGUUUAAUUCCGACCUGCUCAUCCAAGAUGAAAACAUUUCCCAAUUUCUCUACCAGGAUGGUCUUAGUUCAUUAAAAUUGAUCAUUACCUUGUCAAAUUGGUGGCCACCCAGUGGAUUAAUAAAGCUUACUUCAG